RNAcentral lists this long non-coding RNA (1007 nucleotides) under Brassica rapa (field mustard). RNAcentral describes it as "long non-coding RNA (BRAP_LNC000026)". The record is from RNAcentral. Lineage: Eukaryota; Viridiplantae; Streptophyta; Magnoliopsida; Brassicales; Brassicaceae.
GGGCACAUCAUGUAAAUUAAAGUUCCAAAUUUUGAAAAUGUUGCGCAACUGAAAACGAAUAAUCACAUAUACAAUUGUACGGACGAAACUUAAGGUGGUGAGGGAAAGAUAUAUUUGGUUGAACCAAAAUCAACUAAAAACCUUAAAAGUACGGUUGUUACUUUGGUGGUUAACCAAAUGUAGAAAGUGGUUAAAAAAAUUUUAUAAAAUAAAAUUUAUAGAGCAUAAUUGGACGAGAAUCAAAUACCCAAAGCAUCUGAUAACCUAACCCAUCAAACAAAUGAGAAGCUGAUUCUGCAGAAAAAAAAGAAAAAAAGAAAAAAAGAAAGUAAGGACUGUACUUACCACUUACCAGAGUUAAACAAAAGCUGCGAUGGGAUCUUUGAUGCUUCUAGAGUUUACUAUAGGCUUCACUUAGAUGCCGAACUCUUGUAAUAUAAGUUACAUUUCUAUAUAGUUCUAAAACGAGGUACAAUGUUGAAUACUUGGUUUCUCACGCUUAUUUUCUGCAUCUACAUGCUAUUUUCUUGGUUUGGUUUAUAUCUUAUUCAAGCGUUCAUUUCACCAGUGCGCGGUUCUAACCACGUUUCCUCUUGUGAUGAUACCGACAUUUUCCACAGGAAAUAUAAAAAGGAUAAGCGAUGCAUGAGAAAGAUGAUGUAACUCAAAUUAAAUCUGAGAUGGGUAGAUGUUAAAUCUCCCUUACCAAUUUGCCAGAAUCUACAACAGGAAGUCUGCGAUUAAAUGGAAACAGAACAAGAAGACUAAGUUAGAGAAAAAUGUAAAAUCUGGAUAAGGAAAAAAAUGACGGCACUGAAGAUAAAGGUAAGACAAUAACUUAGCAGCAUCUUCGAGGUUGGUGUUUUCCUCAACAACAACUGGAGCUGGGUGUCAUCAAAUGUCCAACAAGCUUCCCAUUGGUUUUGCUAACUAAAUAUUCUUAUCGGAAUCAAUAUAUUACUAUGAUACAAGGUCACGAGAUAUGAAAACAAAAGAAAUUUACAAAC